RNAcentral lists this transfer RNA (69 nucleotides) under Marmota monax (woodchuck). RNAcentral's name for it is "tRNA.Thr". It matches the Rfam family "tRNA". From Rfam's summary of the family: Transfer RNA (tRNA) molecules are approximately 80 nucleotides in length. The record is from RNAcentral. Lineage: Eukaryota; Metazoa; Chordata; Mammalia; Rodentia; Sciuridae.
GGGUGUAGCUCAAUGGUAGAGUGCUUCCCUAGUAUGUGUGAGGUCCUGGGUUUGAUCCCCAGCAUCACA